RNAcentral lists this ribosomal RNA (151 nucleotides) under Aeromonas media. Its description in RNAcentral is "partial 16S ribosomal RNA". It matches the Rfam family "Bacterial small subunit ribosomal RNA", at positions 383 to 526 of the family's 1533-position model. Lineage: Bacteria; Pseudomonadati; Pseudomonadota; Gammaproteobacteria; Aeromonadales; Aeromonadaceae. The record is from RNAcentral.
CUGAUGCAGCCAUGCCGCGUGUGUGAAGAAGGCCUUCGGGUUGUAAAGCACUUUCAGCGAGGAGGAAAGGUUGAUACCUAAUACGUAUUAGCUGUGACGUUACUCGCAGAAGAAGCACCGGCUAACUCCGUGCCAGCAGCCGCGGUAAUAC